RNAcentral lists this long non-coding RNA (1199 nucleotides) under Vitis vinifera (wine grape). RNAcentral's name for it is "long non-coding RNA (VVIN_LNC005763)". The record is from RNAcentral. Lineage: Eukaryota; Viridiplantae; Streptophyta; Magnoliopsida; Vitales; Vitaceae.
UUUAAUCUUGUGCCUGAUGCUGAUCUUACACUGACGUAUAUUGAUGAAGAUGGUGACGUGGUAACACUUGUUGAUGAUGAAGAUCUGCAUGAUGUGAUGAGACAGCGCUUGAAGUUCUUGAGGAUUACCGUGCUGCUAAAUAUUGAAAAGGAUGGUAGGUCUCACACUCGGUCAAGUGGAAGUUCUACUCCCAUGAGAUCACCUUUUAACCUGCGCCCAUUUCAAGAUGGCAAUGCUGGUGUUGCUCCCAUGAGAUCACCUUUUGACCUGCGCCCAUUUCAAGAUGGCAAUGCUGGUGUUGCUCCCAUGAGACCACCUUUUGACCUGCGCCCAUUUCAAGAUGGCAAUGCUGGUGUUGCUGAAUUUAUUAAAUCAGUACCAGAGCCACUACUUGAAGCAUUUUCGAAACUAUCAACAGAUUUUACUUCUAAAGCUGCAUCCUCUGCUCCAGUGCUUUCUGAGGUUCUUACCUGCCUCUCAAAGAUGGGAGAAUCCUACCUCAAUUCUGUUUCUCCAUCUGAGGUUGGUGCAGAUUCAAGCACACAUAAUAGGUCAUCUGACAACUCCGUCGAUCCUUUAGUGACUGAAAAUACAAAAGCUCCGCAAGCUGACAGCAAACAAGAACUGCUGCCAACUGCUGAACUCAAAGAUUCAAAUUCUAAACUUAAUGAAGUGGGAACAACUGGACCCGUGUCUAGAGGUGUGGGGACCUCAAUUACUCCAGCUGCAACAUCCAUGGAUCUUAACUUCCCUAGUUUUCCAGAUAUAUCUGAAAUCCCUAGUUUUUUUCCAGAUAUAUCUAAAAUCCCCAUUUUUCCAGUUAUAACUGAAUCUGGAGCUGUGACUAUUACAGCAGGUAUCGCAUCAAAUGUUCCUGCUACUGACAACAAGGAGGCUAAUGUGGAAAGCAAUGUUGCACCAGUUGCAUCCAAUGAUCCCUCUGUGGACAAGAGGAAGGAGACUAAAAAGGAAAGCAAGUAUGCACCCAUUGCAUGUUCUGAUUGUGCCAAUGAUCCCUCUGUGGACAAGAGGAAGGAGACUAAGAAGGAAAGCAAGUAUCCACCCGUUGCAUGUUCUGAUUGUGCUUCUGAUGGAAGGAAAGGAACUAAGAAGGGAAGCGUUGAUCAUUAUGGUGAGAAGUUGGCUGAUUGUGUUGCAUCCACGUGGAAUGCAGGAUAUCCCAGACCCUAUAAUCCAGA